RNAcentral lists this ribosomal RNA (253 nucleotides) under uncultured bacterium. Its description in RNAcentral is "partial 16S ribosomal RNA". It matches the Rfam family "Bacterial small subunit ribosomal RNA", at positions 524 to 776 of the family's 1533-position model. The record is from RNAcentral.
UACGUAGGGGGCGAGCGUUGUCCGGAUUUACUGGGCGUAAAGAGCGCGUAGGCGGAUGUUUAAGUGUGGCCUCAAAGCCCCCGGCUCAACCGGGGAUCUGGGUUGCAAACUGGGCAUCUUGAGGGGGAUAGAGGAGAGUGGAAUUCCUGGUGUAGCGGUGAAAUGCGUAGAUAUCAGGAGGAACACCAAUUGCGAAGGCAGCUCGCUGGGACGUGACUGACGCUGAGACGCGAAAGCGUGGGGAGCAAACAGG